Molecule: non-coding RNA, 27 nt
Filed under: Homo sapiens (human)
Lineage: Eukaryota; Metazoa; Chordata; Mammalia; Primates; Hominidae
Source: RNAcentral
UGCCAAGACUGCUGUGGCCAGGAGGUG